This 204-nucleotide long non-coding RNA is filed under the name Mytilus galloprovincialis (Mediterranean mussel). The record is from RNAcentral. Lineage: Eukaryota; Metazoa; Mollusca; Bivalvia; Mytilida; Mytilidae.
CGUCUGUUGGAACUUUUAAGUUUUUUUCUCAGUACCGUUUUGUUUUUAUAAAGGGACAUAACACCAUUACUAACCGUGUAUGAAAUAAGCCCGCCCUCUUCUUACCUAAUAUGGAAUAUAAAGGGACGUAACUCCACUACUAACUGUGUAUGAGAUAAGCCCCGCCUCCCUACUAACCUAAUAUCAAAUACACACGGUUUGCAC